CUACACACAAGAUAAUACAAAGCAAUCAGAUUAAAAAGAGACAAAAAACGAUCACAAAAACAAAGGAAAUCACCAAUUGCAUGCGUUCUUCAAGUAACAAACAACAAGGAAUAGCAAACAGGCCCAGAUUCAACAAACUAAAAAAAUUUCCAACUAAUAAACCAACGAACAAUUGAUGCCCAUCUCACAAAUACAGACAAUCAAGACCCAGAUGACAGAACAACACAGAAAGAAGCAAAACAUAGAGUACAGUUCCUGUAGAAGGAAAACAAAAUUUACCUUUAGAGUUCCUGAGAG
RNAcentral lists this unclassified non-coding RNA (297 nucleotides) under Hevea brasiliensis (rubber tree). Lineage: Eukaryota; Viridiplantae; Streptophyta; Magnoliopsida; Malpighiales; Euphorbiaceae. The record is from RNAcentral.